Molecule: long non-coding RNA, 510 nt
Organism: Ipomoea triloba (trilobed morning glory)
Lineage: Eukaryota; Viridiplantae; Streptophyta; Magnoliopsida; Solanales; Convolvulaceae
Exons: 2
Source: RefSeq, a predicted model, not a curated record
CUUCCUCAUACAACAAAAAGAAGAAAAAGAUUGAAAUGGCUCUUACAAAACUCAACAAAGUGGCAUUUGUUGCUCUCCUUGUCUGCUUCAUCCUCAUUGCAUCAUAUGAAACACAAAUGGUUGAAGCAAAGUAUUGUAUGAAACAAAAAAGUUGGGGCGGCAGUUGUCCCGCGAUAAAAUGCACCAAUUGGUGCAAAAAAGACAUGAAGGGCUUCAAGUGGUAUUGUCAGAAUCACCAAUGCUACUGUCAAUAUAAGUGCGGUAGUUAAAUGAAAAUAUUUUUACUUGGACUAUUUUCAUACCACCAAAAUUAUACAUUAUAUUAUAAAUCUUACUCUAUUAUGUAAUAAAAAUAAAUAAAUGUUGCUACAUACAAAUGACUCAGAGUCAUUUUGUCACAAAGCAACAAUUGUAUCUUGUGACACUAGUAGUGUGUAUUUUAAAUUUUUAAUGUGUGUUGUAUGAUGAAUACUAUCAUUACUAUAUGUAUAAUGAGUCGUAUUUGAGUUA